RNAcentral lists this ribosomal RNA (446 nucleotides) under Leptopelis gramineus (Ethiopian burrowing tree frog). RNAcentral describes it as "partial large subunit ribosomal RNA". It matches the Rfam family "Bacterial large subunit ribosomal RNA", at positions 1920 to 2534 of the family's 2925-position model. Lineage: Eukaryota; Metazoa; Chordata; Amphibia; Anura; Arthroleptidae. The record is from RNAcentral.
CAGUUUAACGGCCGCGGUACCCUAACCGUGCGAAGGUAGCAUAAUCACUUGUUUCUUAAAUAGAGACUAGUAUCAACGGCAUCACGAAGACUAUACUGUCUCCCCCCUAAAAUCAAUGAAACUGAUCUCCUCGUGAAGAAGCGAGGAUACACAUAUAAGACGAGAAGACCCCAUGGAGCUUUAAACAAACUUCAAUUGUUCCUACCCAUAACACACAAAUUGAACACCCCUGACAGUUAGUUUUAGGUUGGGGUGACCGCGGAGUAAAACAAAACCUCCACAAUGAAUGUAAUAAAAUUCUUAUAAAAGAAUCACAAUUCUAAUAAUCAAAAAUUUGACAUAAAUUGACCCAAACGCUUGAUCAAUGAACCAAGUUACCCUGGGGAUAACAGCGCAAUCCAUUUUAAGAGCCCAUAUCGACAAAUGGGUUUACGACCUCGAUGUUG